AACGAGCGCUGGCGGCAUGCCUAACACAUGCAAGUCGAACGAGACCUUCGGGUCUAGUGGCGCACGGGUGCGUAACGCGUGGGAAUCUGCCCUUAGGUUCGGAAUAACUUCGGGAAACUGAAGCUAAUACCGGAUGAUGACGUAAGUCCAAAGAUUUAUCGCCUAAGGAUGAGCCCGCGUUGGAUUAGCUAGUUGGUGAGGUAAAGGCUCACCAAGGCGACGAUCCAUAGCUGGUCUGAGAGGAUGAUCAGCCACACUGGGACUGAGACACGGCCCAGACUCCUACGGGAGGCAGCAGUGGGGGAAUAUUGGACAAAUGGGCGAAAAGGACCUUGAUCCAGCAAUGCCGCGUGAGUGAUGAAGGCCUUAGGUUGUAAGCUNUUUACCAGGGAUGAUAAUGACAGUACCUGGAGAA
RNAcentral lists this ribosomal RNA (415 nucleotides) under uncultured bacterium. RNAcentral's name for it is "bacterial SSU rRNA". It matches the Rfam family "Bacterial small subunit ribosomal RNA", at positions 29 to 486 of the family's 1533-position model. The record is from RNAcentral.